UGUGAUUCCGCCGGAAGAGCGGCCGUGCGUGGUAUUAGCUUGUUGGUGAGGUAACGGCUCACCAAGGCUGAGAUGCCUAGGGGGUGUGAGAGCAUGGCCCCCACCACUGGGACUGAGACACUGCCCAGACACCUACGGGUGGCUGGCAGUCGAGAAUCCUUUGGCAAUGCACGCAAGUGUGGACCAAGCGACGCCGGAGUGCUGGAUGAAGGCCUUCGGGUUGUAAACAGCUGUCAGAGGGGGAUGAAAUUUGUUGGGGGGCUAAUCCCCCUUCAUUGACAAAGUCCUCAGAGGAAGCGCGGGCUAAGUUCGUGCCAGCAGCCGCGGUAA
This 330-nucleotide ribosomal RNA is filed under the name uncultured bacterium. Its description in RNAcentral is "bacterial SSU rRNA". It matches the Rfam family "Bacterial small subunit ribosomal RNA", at positions 208 to 523 of the family's 1533-position model. The record is from RNAcentral.